CCCUUAGAUGUUCUGGGCCGCACGCGCGCUACACUGAUUCAUGCAACAAGUUUUGUCCUUGGCUGAUAGGCCUGGGUAAUCUUUGAACGUGAAUCGUGAUGGGGAUAGAUGAUUGCAAUUAUUCAUCUUCAACGAGGAAUUCCUAGUAAACGCAAGUCAUCAGCUUGCAUUGAUUACGUCCCUGCCCUUCGUACACACCGCCCGUCGCACCUACCGAUUGAAUGGUCCGGUGAAAUCUUCGGAUCUGAGAGAUGUCUGAUUAAUUUCGGACGCCUUUUGGAAAAGUUGUUUAAACCUUACCAUUUAGAGGAAGGUGAAGUCGUAACA
Molecule: ribosomal RNA, 327 nt
Filed under: uncultured eukaryote
Lineage: Eukaryota
Description: partial 18S ribosomal RNA
Rfam family: Eukaryotic small subunit ribosomal RNA
Source: RNAcentral